GUGGGGAAUAUUGGACAAUGGGCGCAAGCCUGAUCCAGCCAUGCCGCGUGAGUGAUGAAGGCCUUAGGGUUGUAAAGCUCUUUCACCGAUGAAGAUAAUGACGGUAGUCGGAGAAGAAGCCCCGGCUAACUUCGUGCCAGCAGCCGCGGUAAUACGAAGGGGGCUAGCGUUGUUCGGAUUUACUGGGCGUAAAGCGCACGUAGGCGGUUUGUUAAGUCAGGGGUGAAAUCCCGGAGCUCAACUCCGGAACUGCCUUUGAUACUGGCAAGCUAGAGUCCGGAAGAGGUAAGUGGAACUCCUAGUGUAGAGGUGGAAUUCGUAGAUAUUAGGAAGAACACCAGUGGCGAAGGCGGCUCACUGGUCCGGUACUGACGCUGAGGUGCGAAAGCGUGGGGAGCAAACAGGAUUAGAAACCCGAGUAGUCC
RNAcentral lists this ribosomal RNA (425 nucleotides) under uncultured bacterium. RNAcentral describes it as "bacterial SSU rRNA". It matches the Rfam family "Bacterial small subunit ribosomal RNA", at positions 354 to 796 of the family's 1533-position model. The record is from RNAcentral.